UGUGAAGGCCACACCACCUUGAAUGCACCCAACCUUAUCUGACCCCAGAAGCUCAGCAGGGUCAGGCCUGGUGAGUGCUUGGAUGAGAAGAGGAACAACGUGUGACUUUGGGC
RNAcentral lists this ribosomal RNA (113 nucleotides) under Jaculus jaculus (lesser Egyptian jerboa). The record is from RNAcentral. Lineage: Eukaryota; Metazoa; Chordata; Mammalia; Rodentia; Dipodidae.